Vigna angularis (adzuki bean) is the source of this 1647-nucleotide long non-coding RNA. RefSeq lists it as uncharacterized. The record is from RefSeq and is a predicted model, not a curated record. The transcript is spliced from 2 exons. Lineage: Eukaryota; Viridiplantae; Streptophyta; Magnoliopsida; Fabales; Fabaceae.
AAACCCCUUGUCGACGUUCGCACACCUCUCCUUCUUGGCCACCACCACACACAUCGCAGUUUCAUCAAAGGAAAUACUCUAAUCACUCAAGACCUACAUACACACUGAACGUGUUUCUCAUCAUGAAAAUUUGUUGUUUUUAUAUAUAUAUAUUUUUUAAAUGAUAUUAUCUAUUUUGGUUUUAUUUUCACCAUUAAUGGCUGCCACAUGGUACACGUCACGUAAUGUGUUUUUGUAUCAACAUACAUUAUUAUCCCAACAAAGGGUGUGCAGAAAACAGGUUCGUUUAUUCAAUAUCAUAGCUUGCUUCCAUUUCCUAUAAUAAUUACUCAGCAACACCGUUUCAUGAGAAAGUAGCAAAGUUGGUUGUGGCUGUGGUUUCAUCUUUGCAUCUGAUACAAGAUGGUGAAGAGAGUGAGGUCUGAUUCGGGGUACCUGUACUGGAGGUGGAGUCCAAGAGACUGUAAAUUGCCCGAGUUCAAUCCUAAGAAGUUUCUUAAGUUUAUGAGAAAUAAAUCAUUGGCUUUCAUUGGUGAUUCAGUCUCUCGUAAUCAUGUUCAGUUCCUACUUUGCAUUCUCUCAAAGUUCACUUUCUAUAGCUUACCAAAUUUGAAGACAUUAGGGUCCAUUUGCUUCAAACUGAAACCCUAGUUGAAGAGGUGCCAACGGCGGUGUCCCUUCUAACACCUCUCUAUCGUCUCCCAAUUAAAAUCCCACGAGAUUUUUACCUGUCUGGUCGGUAUGUUCUAAAAGAAGCAGUCUCAUAUAGCCGAUGCCCCAUGACAAGGCUUGAAAAAUCUGGCCAUCUACUACCAUCAUUGUUAAAUCCAGGAAAGAAGGCAUCUGCUUCCAAAGAAACAAUGUAAUCAAGCACAUCCCAAAGUAACCUGUGUGCUUUCAUCCUCAGGUCCAUUGGGGAAUGAUCAGGUUCCGUAGGGGUCUCGGUGAUCCAUGCAUACCAACCUUCUUUUUCAUGCUAGUAAAGUGGUUUAUCCGGGGGUGGGGGAAGAGGCCGAGGACCAGCCUUCUUCCAUGCUUCCGUGAGUUCUUUCUCACUUUUCAUAGGAGGUGGUUGAAACCUAUUUAGAGGAAGAGAAGUUUCAGGUCCAACCAAAUCCGACAACUCCUUCUCACUGCACAAGGAAGUGUGAUCCAGAGUAUUCGUUCAAACCUGCAAAAAUAAAUAAAAAGAGAAAGUCUGCAAAAACUUUCAUUCAAGCCUGUAAAAAGAAAUAAAAAGAGAAAGUUACAGGCACCAACGCCCACCACCGUGUCACUCACUUGCUCAUCUUCAAGUUCCGGUGCAGCGCCAUACCAUUAAUCACAUUAUUCCCACCAGUUAAAAGUCCUAGCUGUUGUCGCCGCAAGAGGUUAAUGGCGUGCAAUUCAGAUUCCUUGGCAGCCGGUGACGAGGACGGAGGUUUGUGGUGAUUCUAGUCGACGAGGUUGUGUCGGUGGAUGGAAACGAAGAUGUAAGGAAGGAGACGGAGGAGGAAGGAGAGAAGUCGGAGACGAAGGAAGAGGGAGAGAAGCCGGAAAGAUUCACUCUGUCAGAAAAAAAAAAUAACGUGGUAUACACCCUUAGCCAUGUCAGCUUUGUUUUUAACGCUUUUAGUUUGGGAAAAUAAAAAAUUAAAGUUUCCUUAA